CGUGAAAAGGAAUUAGCCAAACAUGAUGCGAGAAUUAAAUAAACAAAAGUGGAACGACAUCACCAAAAAAUUCGACGGAACGUGAUUAAUUUUUGUGUCAAUGAUUCUGCCGUCUCUUUCCUCUUCAAUGUUUUCUGCGUGUGUCGUCUUCUUCCAGCAAUUCUUGUCUCUGUCUGCAUAUAUAUAUAUUCUGCCUCAAUGUUCGACUAUUCCAAUUUCUGCCCUCUUGUACUUUGUAUAAUAAAAUUCAGCACCAAUUCCCAGGCUGCCGUUCCUGUGCGUAUGUAUAUUCUUCUCUGUUUCAGCCUCAAAUUGCGUGAGAAAUAUAUAAUAUUGUUCAGCAACUGGUAGCCCCAAAGUGUGUGUAAAUAAUAUAAAGUAUUGGCUGCCCAAAGCUCAAUUCCCAGCCUUAAGUGUAUGUAUCUUUAAUUCAGCAGUAGGCAGAAUUCUCCUCCUUUUUU
This 461-nucleotide long non-coding RNA is filed under the name Olea europaea (common olive). Its description in RNAcentral is "long non-coding RNA (OEUR_LNC004059)". Lineage: Eukaryota; Viridiplantae; Streptophyta; Magnoliopsida; Lamiales; Oleaceae. The record is from RNAcentral.